UACAGAGGUCUCAAGCGUUGUUCGGAUUCAUUGGGCGUAAAGGGUGCGUAGGCGGCGCGGUAAGUCGGGUGUGAAAUCUCGGGGCUUAACUCCGAAACUGCAUUCGAUACUGCCGUGCUUGAGGACUGGAGAGGAGACUGGAAUUUACGGUGUAGCGGUGAAAUGCGUAGAUAUCGUAAGGAAGACCAGUGGCGAAGGUGGGUCUCUGGACAGUUCCUGACGCUGAGGCACGAAGGCCAGGGGAGCAAACGGG
RNAcentral lists this ribosomal RNA (253 nucleotides) under uncultured bacterium. RNAcentral's name for it is "partial 16S ribosomal RNA". It matches the Rfam family "Bacterial small subunit ribosomal RNA", at positions 524 to 776 of the family's 1533-position model. The record is from RNAcentral.